Molecule: long non-coding RNA, 733 nt
Organism: Syzygium oleosum
Lineage: Eukaryota; Viridiplantae; Streptophyta; Magnoliopsida; Myrtales; Myrtaceae
Exons: 2
Source: RefSeq, a predicted model, not a curated record
UUUGAGGUCAUGUCUACCCCUCACAUUAUCGCAUAAACUAAUCAUAUUUUGAGAUUGCAUUUGCCCAUUUAUUCUUAAAGUCGAGCGAGGUUUAAGUGAUUAGCUCUAAUGUCAAGCUUGAAAUCUAUGAAGAGAAAACGUCGAGACAAAUUGCUUCCGAUCUUACCAUGAUUAUGGCUUUGAUGUUGUCCUUGGUGAGCUUUAUGGAGUUCUGGAGAUCCUCCGAUUCAUUGACCGUCGCCUCUUCGCUGUAGAAGGCGAGCAAGUCGUCCACCAUGUCCGUCUCGGCCUCGUCGCUGACGAUGGCCUUGUUCAUCUUCUUCACCAGGUGGUCGUCGAUGAUCUUGUCAAUGAACCCGUCGAGCGACCGGCGAGCCUUGACGAGCCUCUCGUUGAUCCCCUGCGGGUCGAUCCGGCCGAGAUACGGGAUGAAAUCCGCGAGGUUGAAAGCCCCGAACAGCUUUGAAAACUCCUGCAAUAUCCCAAUGAACUUGUCUUGCCCUUCGGUCGCGCUCGCUCCGAGCGCAGCCCUGUAGGUUCAAAGACAGUUUCAUGUUUUAGUACUAAGCGAUUUUCAUGUUCUCUAUUCAUAUGAUGCUGUAGCAGUGUAUCGGAAGUGGACAAGUAAUUUCGAAAUUUAAAUUUUUUUCAUAAUUGGAUAUAGAGUUCAAAGACGAAAAAUGUAAAUAAUGUAAAAGAAUCUACAAAGCCUGUGUAUAUAAAAUUAUUCCUA